Cicer arietinum (chickpea) is the source of this 399-nucleotide non-coding RNA. The record is from RefSeq and is a predicted model, not a curated record. Lineage: Eukaryota; Viridiplantae; Streptophyta; Magnoliopsida; Fabales; Fabaceae.
AGUUGAUCUCGGACCUUAUCGGUGCUCCAACACGUCGAUGAGGCCUUUUCUGAUAACUUGUUUCACUUCGUUUCGAAUAUGUUUCUUCUCUUAAUAUUUUUAUUAAUUAUGUAACAUUGAUUUUUAUGGUCCACGUAAAUUAUCAGCCAUGUUUCAUUGACUCUGCAAAUUCGUCGAUGCUUUUGAACUCGUUCGUUGCGUGUUGUCGACAUCGCAUGGUUGCUGAAAAUCAUUAUGGUCCUUAUAUCUUAUGAAAGCGUCAAAUUGAGGUUAUCGAUUGGGGAUCCACGCUCUGAAUAGGUGAUAUUGGGUGGGAGUAAUUUUUCGUAUUUUGUUGAGUUAUGAACAAUUUAGAUUUUUGUAAAUUUGAUUGAUCAAUUGUGUUAUUUUUAUCGGUUA